CACGCCAUCCUCCGCCUUUUGUUCCUCCCCACGAGCGCCGCCCAACCUUCCGGCGCCGCAUUGCCGCUCGCCGCCGCGGCCGUAGUCGCAGCCCCCGGUGGCCCGUAACUCCCCGAGGCCGUCUCAAUCUUCCCCAAAUUACUGUAUUCGGGAGAAGCGAGAGAUGGCCCUGUGCAUCCGAGGGCUCUGCCUGGCCGGCCGUUGGCAGCCGUGGCCAUGGGCCGAUGCAUCGGGCGGUCGUACCAGGAGGAGCUACACGUGGGGCAUCAGAGGGAGGAGCCGAUGUCGCCGGGAGGAGGUAGUCAAGCGCCACCGACGCCCCACCUUAUACGGCCGGGUCUUGGGGAGCCUGCGCCGCUAGGAGCAGCGGCGUGGCCGCCGGCCACCGUCGGCGUCGUGCUGGGAGCCACCUUCACCGGUUCGUCGACUAAGUGUGCGUCCGCCUUAGGCUGAAGCGGCAGAAGUCGCGCUGCCGUGAGAAACGAGCCAAGCCCGCUUCGUUCCGGUCGAGGAUCACAGGGUCGACAGAUCAGGUUAAAUGCACAGGCACGCACUCAGUCUUCCUUACUGAAAUAUGUGCUGCAUCGAGGCCAUCAGUGGAGAGUCCACGAACCAAUCUAUAUGAACUGGAUUUUAUCAUUGUUGAAAGCGAGAUACUUCCCAGACAGAUACAUGUGCCUUAGGAAGCGUGAGAACAACAGAACAUUGCCAGUAUGUAAUGUCAUGGCAUCCAUUUCCUUGAAGAAUUUUACUACUUCAAUGCUGUCAAGCAAUAUGCGACAUGAUCUUGCAAUUUACAUGUGCCACGAACUUUGGUGCAAUCCUUGUGCCUUCCAAGUUCUAAGUAUAGCUAUUUACUUACAGUGCGCAUUUGCCUUUUGUUGAGGCUGGUGAGAAAAUUGUUCUUCAUACUAUUAUGGAUGGUUCCCAUAUGACAAGGUAAUCUAUGAGAAAUCUCAGUUUCCCAAAUCAUUGUCAUAUUAUUUUUCAGAUCAAUACUGUAAGUCUGUAACAAGAAAUCUCGGUUACCUAGAUGGAUGAAUUUAUAUUGUUUUAGGUGAAUAUAGCGAUGCCACUGUGUUUUACUAGGUAUUUUGUAGGCACUAUUGUUUGGCCCUGAAGCUAUACCGAGCAGUGCCAACCACUCCUCAUGAUUUUAUGUUUUGCUUUUCGUAGUGCUGCUAAGGUUAAAAUAUACCGUCUGAUUUAUAUUGUUCACCUACGCACCUUAGGUUUUUUUCUGAAGUUCAAUUCUGAUGAGUAGAUGGAAAAAUUUAUCUGGGCAGAUGAGUAAAUCAAAUACAGUCCCAAGCUGUAAACUUCCAUCUUGCUAUUUUGACUACUUCUGUGACCGCCUCUUGGCUUACCGUAUGUUUUAACAUUUAUAGCUUAUAUGGUUCUCCCAUGUCCUUUUAUUCACGUGAAUGAACUAUUGAUAUAUGGUUGUUGCGUUUGAUUGCCCAGUUUCCUUCAUUAUUUGAGGUGUGCACUGUGUCAGUCAAAUGCAACAAAAGAACACAGGUUUAUAGUGUGUAUUCCAAGGAUAGUGUUGAAUGAUCCAUUGACAAGGUGUCCUUUUACAGUACAGCGUCGGUAAUACCCAAUCUGUGUUUCAGAUUCUGUAGUACUCGGUUCUUCUGUUCGACGAGUUCUUAUUUUCCUAGGUCUAAUAAUAUGUUUACUGGUUCGUUUUCACCCAAGGAGACAGCUAGAAAUCAAGUUUUGUCAGUAGGCUGGCGUACAAGGAGGAUGUGCUACCCUAUGACUAUAAACAAAAGCCUAUCUACAGUUUUAUGUGGCGUCUCAAGGGUGGCUUCUGAGCAAUGGAUUAAACUAGAGGAGAAUGGUAGCCCCUGUACACAUACUAUAAGUAUUGUGUAUGUUAAGUGCUGAGCAGCCUUCAAGAUGAUUUGCUACCCAUGCUCUUUCUCCUUUCCGUUGGACCUGUAUCAUGUUUCUAUAAACCGUAGUAUAACUGGUCGCAUGUAUGAUAAGUAGUGAUGUCUGACAUUUUACCGUGUUUAAGCUAUGUUUCCUCUUACACUUUCAUAUUAGCUUCUAAGAAUCAAUUUCCCUAUUUUUGAACUAAAUGUACAUCGGUGUCAGUUAGCUUCCCCUAUGUAUGUAAUUCAAUGUGUAUAGUAUACUAGAACUGCAACCCUUUUUUAUUGCCUACUGUGUUAUCUACCAAAACUGAAUUGAUGCAACCGAACAUGUCGACACCGAAUAUAGAACAGACAAGGAGAAUGGUAGCCCAUGUACACAUACUAUAAGUAUUGUGUACUCUUAAGUGCUGAGCAGCCUUCAAGAUGAUUUGCUACCCAUGCUCUUUCUCCUUUCCAUGGACCUGUAUCAUGUUUCUAUAAACUGUAGUAUAACUGGUCGCAUGUAUGAUAAGUAGUGAUGUCUGACCUUUUACCGUGUUUAAGCUAUGUUUCCUCUUACACUUUCAUAUUAGCUUCUAAGAAUCAAUUUCCCUAUUUUUUGAAGUAAAUGUACAUCGGUGUCAGUUUUUUUCGAUAAAGGGAAUAUAUUAAUAUCGAGAGAUACCAAUUACACCCAGCCUCUGCAACAACGCACCACCCUAAUGGCACUACGGAUGCACACAGCCAAAAAAAUGGAAAAGAAAACUAAGAAACAAAAGUCCCGCUACAGUAUCACGGACCUAACAACAGCAAUACAUCCACCACCAUGACAACACAUGAAUUGCAGACUCUCCAAAAAACGACGCCUCCAAGAAGGGAACAGUGCUCCAACACCGUCGUCGCCCGAUCAAAGAUCUUAGGUUUUCACUCUGAAGAUAGUCCCCACUCUCAAAACAAUGCCUCCACCAAGGUCACUGCCAGGCACAACCAGUUAAGGCCAGGCAUUGGGUUUUCACCCUGAAAGGUAGGACUCUGCGCUUCACAUGUGUUGUCGCCCCCAUUUUCAUACCGCUGUGUGAAGCCCGUACACCAAGCAAGCCCCUCAACAGCGCAGAGACUUGAACCUCUCUUAGCUUCCCCUAUGUAUGUAAUUAAAUGUGUAUAGUAUACUAGAACUGCAACCUUUUUUAUUGCCUGCUGUGUUAUCUACCAAAACUGAAUUGCUGCAACCGCACAUGUCGACACAUAAUAUAGAACAGACAACUAAUUUACUCCCAAGUUGAAUAGAACUAAGUACAAUCGAUACCACCGAAGACGACUUUGUAUCAUGUGCUGUCUCUAUUUCGUCUGCCACUUCUAUACCUUGGCACAUCUGUAGUUCUUUGUUAGUUCAAAUUUUAGAGUAAGCUUCAGUUAAAUAAAAUGGGUUUCAGCAAGUCUAAACACUCUCAAUGCGCCGCAAUAUCAAUCCCUUAAGUAUCCAUGUAAUUCCACACAUUUUUAUAUCCACCUACCUAUUGCUGUAGAAAUCCCGCACACUACCAAUUAACCCUGACAUCAAGUAGCUAAGUAUCCAUGUAUAAUAUUAUUGUACUUGAUUUGGUACUGAUGUGCUUAAGUUUCCUGUUUCAUUGAUGUUUUGAACCAUCAAUAACCGAGAUGGGAUUUCCGGUUGAUUUAGGGUCACGAGAAUUAUGCCUCAAUGUGUAGAGUAUUCAAAUAAAUCAUGACUUGAAGAUUUAUCAAGAGAGGUAUUGUGGCACUUAUCCUGGAGACCAAGAUACAAAAUGUCAAGCAGCAAGCUUAUCAUUUGUGUAAGCUUCCAUUUUAGGAAAAGGUAUCCGCGGCUAAAUGUAUACUUGGAAAAGAAUUACAGAGACUGAAACAGGAGCCCUUAGAAAGGGGGAAAAGAGGUCUGGGGCAUGGCUCUGCAAAGAGACAUACAUGGACGCCCACGAAAGCAUGUAAAUAAAGAGUUGACACACAAAUAAUAUUUUUAAUUAAGCCAUAUAUUGAGUAAUGUACGCACAUGUUUCCAGUACUGAAACUCACUGUUGAUUUUAUGAUAUAUCGAAUUUGAUGUUAGCGAA
Molecule: non-coding RNA, 3955 nt
Organism: Lolium perenne
Lineage: Eukaryota; Viridiplantae; Streptophyta; Magnoliopsida; Poales; Poaceae
Source: RefSeq, a predicted model, not a curated record